Molecule: ribosomal RNA, 520 nt
Filed under: uncultured Entrophospora
Lineage: Eukaryota; Fungi; Glomeromycota; Glomeromycetes; Entrophosporales; Entrophosporaceae
Description: SSU rRNA
Rfam family: Eukaryotic small subunit ribosomal RNA
Source: RNAcentral
AGCAGCCGCGGUAAUUCCAGCUCCAAUAGCGUAUAUUAAAGUUGUUGCAGUUAAAAGCUCGUAGUUGAAUUUCGGGAUUGACGUGAUGGUCAUGCCUUAAGGGGUAUGAACUGUUACUGUUGAUUUCUCACCUUCUGGAGAACCGCGAUGCCCUUAAUUGGGUGUCGCGGGGAACCAGGACCUUUACUUUGAAAAAAUUAGAGUGUUUAAAGCAGGCAUUUUGCUUGAAUACAUUAGCAUGGAAUAAUAAAAUAGGACGGCAUGAUUCUAUUUUGUUGGUUUCUAGGAUCACCGUAAUGAUUAAUAGGGAUAGUUGGGGGCAUUAGUAUUCAAUUGUCAGAGGUGAAAUUCUUGGAUUUAUUGAAGACUAACUACUGCGAAAGCAUUUGCCAAGGAUGUUUUCAUUAAUCAAGAACGAAAGUUAGGGGAUCGAAGACGAUCAGAUACCGUCGUAGUCUUAACCAUAAACUAUGCCGACUAGGAAUCAGACGAUGUUAAUUUUUUAAUGACUCGUUUGGCA